GGGAAUGUAGCUGAGACGGUUGUAGCACCAGCUUGAAGCUCUGGAGACGCAGGUUCGAAUCCUGCCAUUCCCA
RNAcentral lists this transfer RNA (73 nucleotides) under Vacuolonema iberomarrocanum LEGE 07170. Its description in RNAcentral is "filamentous cyanobacterium LEGE 07170 tRNA". It matches the Rfam family "tRNA". Rfam says of the family: Transfer RNA (tRNA) molecules are approximately 80 nucleotides in length. Their secondary structure includes four short double-helical elements and three loops (D, anti-codon, and T loops). The record is from Rfam by way of RNAcentral. Lineage: Bacteria; Bacillati; Cyanobacteriota; Cyanophyceae; Oculatellales; Oculatellaceae.